RNAcentral lists this ribosomal RNA (866 nucleotides) under uncultured Bacillota bacterium. Its description in RNAcentral is "bacterial SSU rRNA". It matches the Rfam family "Bacterial small subunit ribosomal RNA", at positions 58 to 900 of the family's 1533-position model. Lineage: Bacteria; Bacillati; Bacillota. The record is from RNAcentral.
CAAGUCGGACGCGAAAGUUCCCUUCGGGGAGCGAGUAGAGUGGCGCACGGGUGAGUAACACGUAGGUAAUCUACCUUUGGAUUGGGAAUAACAACCGGAAACGGUUGCUAAUACCGAAUAAUGCAGCGGCACCUAAUGGUGACAGUUGUUAAAGCGGGGGAUCGCAAGACCUCGCGUCUGAAGAGGAGCCUGCGGCGGAUUAGCUAGUUGGUAAGGUAAUGGCUUACCAAGGCUAUGAUCCGUAGCCGGCCUGAGAGGGCGGUCGGCCACACUGACACUGACAUACGGGUCAGACUCCUACGGGAGGCAGCAGUCGGGAAUUUUGGGCAAUGGGCGAAAGCCUGACCCAGCAACGCCGCGUGAAGGAUGAAAUCCUUCGGGAUGUAAACUUCGCAAGAACGGGAAGAAUAAGUAAGAGUUAAUAUCUCUUACGAUGACGGUACUGUUUGUAAGCUCCGGCUAACUCCGUGCCAGCAGCCGCGGUAAUACGGGGGGAGCAAGCGUUGUUCGGAUUUACUGGGCGUAAAGGGCGCGUAGGCGGCCACCGCAAGUCACUUGUGAAAUCUCCGGGCUUAACCCGGAAAGGUCAACUGAUACUGCGGGGCUAGAGUGCAGAAGGGGCAACUGGAAUUCUCGGUGUAGCGGUGAAAUGCGUAGAUAUCGAGAGGAACACCUGCGGCGAAGGCGGGUUGCUGGGCUGACACUGACGCUGAUGUGCGAAAGCUAGGGGAGCGAACGGGAUUAGAUACCCCGGUAGUCCUAGCCUUAAACGAUGAAUGCUUGGUGUCUGGGGUUUUAUAGUCCCCGGGUGCCGUCGCUAACGCUUUAAGCAUUCCGCCUGGGGAGUACGGUCGCAAGACUGAAAC